GAGGGUAUAGCUCAAGUGGUAGAGCACAUGCUUAGCAUGCAUGAAGUCCUGGGUUCAAUCCCCACUACUUCCU
Molecule: transfer RNA, 73 nt
Organism: Camelus ferus (Wild Bactrian camel)
Lineage: Eukaryota; Metazoa; Chordata; Mammalia; Artiodactyla; Camelidae
Rfam family: tRNA
About the family: Transfer RNA (tRNA) molecules are approximately 80 nucleotides in length. Their secondary structure includes four short double-helical elements and three loops (D, anti-codon, and T loops).
Source: Rfam